GGGAAGGGCAGCUGCUCAGACAUGGCAGGUUGCGUCCCCUGCUCCUCGUGGGCGGGGGGGUCCAACGCGGCUUGCUGGGCCAGCAUCAGUUUUGGCGGCAGGAGAAAACGGGCCGGAAUGUAGCCGCACCUGCUCUGGGUGUGGUGUUAUAGCCGGGGCGUGAAUGCUGCCAGCCGGGACUGAGGGAUGCGACACACUGUUGUCACGGAUGCUGGCAUAAUGGGUAGCUGCCGCCCGUCUUGA
Molecule: ribosomal RNA, 243 nt
Filed under: uncultured Ascomycota
Lineage: Eukaryota; Fungi; Ascomycota
Description: partial 28S ribosomal RNA
Source: RNAcentral